AUUGGACAAUGGGGGCACCCCUGAUCCAGCCAUGCCGCGUGUGUGAAGAAGGUCUUCGGCUUGUAAAAACCUUUAAGCUGGGAGGAAGGGCUUUAGGUUAAUACCCUGAAGUUUUGACGUUAACCACAGACUAAGCACCGGCUAACUCCUUGCCAGCAGCCGCGGUAAUACAGAGGGUGCAAGCGUUAAUCGGAAUUACUGGGCGUAAAGCGCGCGUAGGUGGUUCAGUAAGAUGGGUGUGAAAUCCCCGGGCUUAACCUGGGAACUGCUUUCAUAACUGCUGAGCUAGAGUACGGUAGAGGGUAGUGGAAUUUCCUGUGUAGCGGUGAAAUGCGUAGAUAUAGGAAGGAACACCAGUGGCGAAGGCGACUACCUGGACUGAUACUGACACUGAGGUGCGAAAGCGUGGGGAGCAAAC
This 418-nucleotide ribosomal RNA is filed under the name uncultured bacterium. RNAcentral describes it as "partial 16S ribosomal RNA". It matches the Rfam family "Bacterial small subunit ribosomal RNA", at positions 363 to 773 of the family's 1533-position model. The record is from RNAcentral.